This 492-nucleotide ribosomal RNA is filed under the name uncultured bacterium. RNAcentral's name for it is "partial 16S ribosomal RNA". It matches the Rfam family "Bacterial small subunit ribosomal RNA", at positions 29 to 507 of the family's 1533-position model. The record is from RNAcentral.
AGUGAACGCUGGCGGUAGGCCUAACACAUGCAAGUCGAACGGCAGCACAGUAAGAGCUUGCUCUUACGGGUGGCGAGUGGCGGACGGGUGAGGAAUACAUCGGAAUCUACUUUUUCGUGGGGGAUAACGUAGGGAAACUUACGCUAAUACCGCAUACGACCUACGGGUGAAAGCAGGGGAUCUUCGGACCUUGCGCGAUUGAAUGAGCCGAUGUCGGAUUAGCUAGUUGGCGGGGUAAAGGCCCACCAAGGCGACGAUCCGUAGCUGGUCUGAGAGGAUGAUCAGCCACACUGGAACUGAGACACGGUCCAGACGCCUACGGGAGGCAGCAGUGGGGAAUAUUGGACAAUGGGCGCAAGCCUGAUCCAGCCAUACCGCGUGGGUGACGAAGGCCUUCGGGUUGUAAAGCCCUUUUGUUGGGAAAGAAAAGCAGCAGGUUAAUACCCCGCUGUUCUGACGGUACCCAAAGAAUAAGCACCGGCUAACUUCGUG